Molecule: long non-coding RNA, 708 nt
Filed under: Gossypium barbadense (sea-island cotton)
Lineage: Eukaryota; Viridiplantae; Streptophyta; Magnoliopsida; Malvales; Malvaceae
Description: long non-coding RNA (GBAR_LNC017906)
Source: RNAcentral
UCCAGUUACAAUACUAUCCCAAAUCGAAAGCCCAAAAUUACAAGCCCAAAUCAAAAAACUUAAAGGCCCAAAAGCCUAAAUUUUUCUUUUCAGAAACAAAAACCCUAAUCUAGUGCCUGUGCGCCGCUCCUCCCACGUCAGCGCCGCUCCUAGCGCCUAUCCCCAACUGCUCCGUCAACCACCCUGCAAAGAAGAACAAACACGCAAGAAACAAUGAAAAAAAUAGAAGAAUAAUAUUGUAAAAUCGGCUAUAAAAAUCGUAAAAACCGAUUGUAAUGGGGGUUCUUUUUUUGAAAAAAACAGAGAAAGAAAUACAAAAAAGAAAUGCAAUCAGAAAUUUUUUAAACAACAGAAUACGAGAUUUCAAAGGUGAUUGAUUUUCUUUUUAUUUAUUUAUUUUUUUCAAAUCAUUAUAUAUAAAUAUAAAACAUAAAACAAAAAAAGGAAGGUUUUUACCUGCUUCGGUUGACAGAGAGAAGAGGAAACCGAAGGGUUUCUCACUUUUGGCCCGAUUUUCUCGAGAUCUCGGUGCUUUUAACCCCAAAACGGGGCUCCUCAUGAAAAAGAGGUUAAAAGGAACCAUUUUAGGUUUUUCUGGCCACCGUCGCCCACGACCGGUGGCCGGCACGGCGGUGACUCGCCGGAGCCAAGGCCGGCCGAAGGGUGGUUUGGAGAAAGGGGAGAGGGUUUCAGAAUAUUUUUUAGAAA